Long non-coding RNA from Nematolebias whitei (Rio pearlfish), 254 nucleotides. RefSeq lists it as uncharacterized. The record is from RefSeq and is a predicted model, not a curated record. The transcript has 4 exons. Lineage: Eukaryota; Metazoa; Chordata; Actinopteri; Cyprinodontiformes; Rivulidae.
GGUAACACACCAUCAUUUAUUUGGGCAGAGUCUUCAAGUUACGCAACUACAACUCUCGAAAUACCAGAAAGUACAACCAUCUCCUUAUCCAGUCCACCUGGAAACAUUCAUAUCAAUCUGGCCAUUUUUAUACCAGUUAUUGCUCUUCUGUUCAUUAUCAUUCUUGGAAUUAUUGUCUACACAAAACGCAAGAGGUCACACACGUUAACUCGGCAGGAAUCUGGAUAUUAUGUCAACUUCAGCCGAGCGACUAC